This 494-nucleotide ribosomal RNA is filed under the name uncultured bacterium. RNAcentral's name for it is "partial 16S ribosomal RNA". It matches the Rfam family "Bacterial small subunit ribosomal RNA", at positions 28 to 507 of the family's 1533-position model. The record is from RNAcentral.
GACGAACGCUGGCGGCGUGCUUAACACAUGCAAGUCGAACGGUGAAGCGCCUUCCUUUUUGGUGGGUGUGGAUGAGUGGCGAACGGGUGAGUAACACGUGAGUAACCUGCCCCCUUCUUCUGGAUAACCGCAUGAAAGUGUGGCUAAUACGGGAUAUUCUGGGUCUGUCGCAUGAUGGGUCUGGGAAAGAUAUUGUUUCGGUGGGGGAUGGGCUCGCGGCCUAUCAGCUUGUUGGUGGGGUGAUGGCCUACCAAGGCGGUGACGGGUAGCCGGCCUGAGAGGGUGGACGGUCACACUGGGACUGAGACGCGGCCCAGACUCCUACGGGAGGCAGCAGUGGGGAAUAUUGCACAAUGGGAGCAAGCCUGAUGCAGCGACGCCGCGUGAGGGAUGGAGGCCUUCGGGUUGUGAACCUCUUUCGCCAGUGAAGCAGGCCUGCCUCGUUUGUGGGUGGGUUGACGGUAGCUGGAGAAGAAGCGCCGGCUAACUACGUG